UUAAUGAAAUAUCAGUUUCCUUCUUGUUUAUUCUUGUUUUUUAUAUUUCUUGAAAUUUAUCUCUACUCUUCGUACUUGUGAUGUAAACUACAUAUUUUCAUUCAUAAGCUCGGAAUUAAUCUGAAGGUGCGAGCUCAGCUCGUGGCGGAUAGUCUGAGAGAACAAAUCUCGUACCUUUUUAAUGGCAACUAUCAUGUCAGUUUUUGGCUUUUAGUCCUU
This 219-nucleotide long non-coding RNA is filed under the name Manihot esculenta (cassava). Its description in RNAcentral is "long non-coding RNA (MESC_LNC003614)". Lineage: Eukaryota; Viridiplantae; Streptophyta; Magnoliopsida; Malpighiales; Euphorbiaceae. The record is from RNAcentral.